This 759-nucleotide long non-coding RNA is filed under the name Homo sapiens (human). Its description in RNAcentral is "HSALNT0381590". The record is from RNAcentral. Lineage: Eukaryota; Metazoa; Chordata; Mammalia; Primates; Hominidae.
AGCAUGAACACAACCUUGCCUCGGAAAGCAUACGUGGGAAAAUAUGCCAGGGGGGUAGCUCCCCAAUUCUCCUGCCCAAAGAUGUUUGCCAUAGACUACGCUGACUGGCCCAUUCAGGAGCCCCUCGGGUUUCCGCUGGACCUACCCUUCUGAUUUGAGAUCAUCCACGUGUUUUCCCACCUCCGGAGGCUUUUAUUUUCUGCUUCCUCCCUUCUUAGUACAGUGCCAAUCACUGCUCUCCCCCGCCGCCCCCCUCCCCAAAGGCUCUCUGAGGCUGCUCCCUUUGUGAUUGGCAUCUCAUUAAUGAAGAAGGGCUGGUGUCUCUCAUUACAGUUAGAGUGAGUGAGAGGACCUCAGAACUAAUUUACUUGCUCUCACUAGGGAAGACACUUGCCUCCAUCAAGAACUUCACUUUCCUGCUGCCUGUGGCAAUAAAAGAACCCGUUUUGUUUUAACAUUAAUAAGGAAAUUCCACUCAUUGAUAAAGCUCGGCUUCGACGCCCCUGCUCACAAUGAAAUACCUUCCUUGCCAACCACAUUGCUUUAUGAUCGUGCCCCUUUACCACAUUGUACUUGAAAUGCCUUGUCAUUUAAGAAACCAUAAAAACGACGUCUUUAAAAAUGGGUUCAUCAUUUAGCUGGAGAUGGCUUCUGUGCCUGGAACCAGAAGCCUGUCCUCUCGGUGGUAUGCCUCCACAAAAGGAAGCGAGCUACCACAAAGGACAGCAUCAUGUGUUGCCUUCAUUGCUAUUGAAUCGG